AGGGUGUAAACGCUGCAGACUUGGUGUUGGAGGCCCUUUGGGGGCAUUCAGUGCCGGAGAGAAGUUGUUAAGUCUGCUACUUGGGAGUACGUCCGCAAGGAUGAAACUUAAAGGAAUUGGCGGGGAGCACCGCAACGGGAGGAGCGUGCGGUUUAAUUGGAUUCAACACCGUAAAACUCACCAGGGAAGACUGUUACAUGAAGGCCGAGAUGAAGACUCUGCUAGAUUUUCAGAGAGGUGGCGCAUGGCGUCAGUGACU
RNAcentral lists this ribosomal RNA (259 nucleotides) under uncultured archaeon. Its description in RNAcentral is "partial 16S ribosomal RNA". It matches the Rfam family "Archaeal small subunit ribosomal RNA", at positions 748 to 1008 of the family's 1478-position model. The record is from RNAcentral.